GAUGAACGCUGGCGGCGUGCUUAACACAUGCAAGUCGAACGGAAAGGCCCAAGCUUGCUUGGGUACUCGAGUGGCGAACGGGUGAGUAACACGUGGGUGAUCUGCCCUGCACUUCGGGAUAAGCCUGGGAAACUGGGUCUAAUACCGGAUAGGACCACAUUUUGGAUGGUGUGGUGGAAAGUUUUUCGGUGUGGGAUGAGCUCGCGGCCUAUCAGCUUGUUGGUGGGGUAAUGGCCUACCAAGGCGUCGACGGGUAGCCGGCCUGAGAGGGUGUACGGCCACAUUGGGACUGAGAUACGGCCCAGACUCCUACGGGAGGCAGCAGUGGGGAAUAUUGCACAAUGGGCGCAAGCCUGAUGCAGCGACGCCGCGUGGGGGAUGACGGCCUUCGGGUUGUAAACUCCUUUCGCUAGGGACGAAGCGUUUUUGUGACGGUACCUGGAGAAGAAGCACCGGCUAACUACGUG
This 467-nucleotide ribosomal RNA is filed under the name uncultured bacterium. Its description in RNAcentral is "partial 16S ribosomal RNA". It matches the Rfam family "Bacterial small subunit ribosomal RNA", at positions 28 to 507 of the family's 1533-position model. The record is from RNAcentral.